GAUGAACGCUGGCGGCGUGCCUAAUACAUGCAAGUCGAGCGAACGGACGAGAAGCUUGCUUCUCUGAUGUUAGCGGCGGACGGGUGAGUAACACGUGGAUAACCUACCUAUAAGACUGGGAUAACUUCGGGAAACCGGAGCUAAUACCGGAUAAUAUUUUGAACCGCAUGGUUCAAAAGUGAAAGACGGUCUUGCUGUCACUUAUAGAUGGAUCCGCGCUGCAUUAGCUAGUUGGUAAGGUAACGGCUUACCAAGGCAACGAUGCAUAGCCGACCUGAGAGGGUGAUCGGCCACACUGGAACUGAGACACGGUCCAGACUCCUACGGGAGGCAGCAGUAGGGAAUCUUCCGCAAUGGGUGAAAGUCUGACGGAGCAACGCCGCGUGAGUGAUGAAGGUCUUCGGAUCGUAAAACUCUGUUAUUAGGGAAGAACAUAUGUGUAAGUAACUGUGCACAUCUUGACGGUACCUAAUCAGAAAGCCACGGCUAACUACGUG
RNAcentral lists this ribosomal RNA (497 nucleotides) under uncultured bacterium. Its description in RNAcentral is "partial 16S ribosomal RNA". It matches the Rfam family "Bacterial small subunit ribosomal RNA", at positions 28 to 507 of the family's 1533-position model. The record is from RNAcentral.